AGGGAGUAUAUCAUUUACAAUU
This 22-nucleotide small nuclear RNA is filed under the name Arabidopsis thaliana (thale cress). RNAcentral describes it as "snRNA_08244". The record is from RNAcentral. Lineage: Eukaryota; Viridiplantae; Streptophyta; Magnoliopsida; Brassicales; Brassicaceae.